GACGAACGCUGGCGGCGUGCCUAAUACAUGCAAGUCGAACGCUGAAGAGAGGAGCUUGCUCUUCUUGGAUGAGUUGCGAACGGGUGAGUAACGCGUAGGUAACCUGCCUGGUAGCGGGGGAUAACUAUUGGAAACGAUAGCUAAUACCGCAUAAAAUUGAUUAUUGCAUGAUAAUUAAUUGAAAGAUGCAACUGCAUCACUACCAGAUGGACCUGCGUUGUAUUAGCUAGUUGGUGAGGUAACGGCGCACCAAGGCGACGAUACAUAGCCGACCUGAGAGGGUGGUCGGCCAAACUGGGACUGAGACACGGCCCAGACUCCUACGGGAGGCAGCAGUAGGGAAUCUUCGGCAAUGGGGGGAACCCUGACCGAGCAACGCCGCGGGAGUGAAGAAGGUUUUCGGAUCGUAAAGCUCUGUUGUAAGAGAAGAACGGGUGUGAGAGUGGAAAGUUCACACUGUGACGGUAUCUUACCAGAAAGGGACGGCUAACUACGUG
Molecule: ribosomal RNA, 497 nt
Filed under: uncultured bacterium
Lineage: Bacteria
Description: partial 16S ribosomal RNA
Rfam family: Bacterial small subunit ribosomal RNA
Source: RNAcentral